CCCAGCUCCCCAGAAACGAGGUGGCCAUUUAUCUGAGUUGUGUGUGGAUCUUUUCUCUCCACUUCAGUGACUCUCAGUGGAGAAACAGGUCUCUCCACCACUCUCUUCCUCGCCCUCGGGUCUGGUCUGCGUCUGAGACCCCCAAGCUCCUGGAUGUGGAGCCUGGGGAGCCGUCUGUUGUUCGUGGGCCAGGCCCCAUGGUAGCCAGUCUCCAGUAUGGCCGCAACCAUCUUGGCCUCCAGGACCUCGCGCCCUGGUGCAGGAUCCAGCCCUGUGGGUGCCCAACACCCCUCUCUCGCCUUCCCCUGAUCCCUACCCUGUUGGGUCCUGUCUUUAUUUAAAAUGUGGCUAUUUUGUUCAUGGUGGAUGUUUUCUACUAAUUUUGAUUUUUCAAAAAAUUCCUGCAAUACUGAGUUUUUUGGUGCCCCCUUACAUUUUGCACACAAGGCGAGCACCACACUUGCUCACCCAGUCCUGGCCCUGUCCCCUCUCACAUUGCCACAAGGCUGCCCUAUGUGACAGACAGAAUAACCCAGAAGUCUGUGCCUUAGGAGGCUAGGUCACAAAGGGCAUUUCAGCUGUCACGCUGGCCUCUGGGAUCCCUCGCUCUGGCUGCGCUCAGUGAGGAUUGAGCAGCCCUGUGGAGAGGCAGACCGGGUAAGGAACUAAGGCCACUCGCCAACAGCCAGUGCCAGUGUGCCAGGCAUGUGAGUGAGCCACCUUGACAGCAGGUCCCCCAGCCCCAGUGUCUACAGCAUCCUUCACUCUCCCCCCACCAGCUCCUAUUGGUCCUUCAGAUUGUCUCACUUCAUGUGCCACUGCUUCCAGGAAGCUUUCCUGAAUGCUCCCAACUGGGUUACAGGAUGGUUCCGUGAUGCUGUCGUCCUCAUGACUGUGAGCUCUGGAAGGCUGGGAGCCGCGUCUUGUCAUCCCACUGGCUUCCACAGGACAGUGAAUGAAGGGCGGGGUGUGCUGGGGAAUUAGGACACUAAGGGGUUGAGAUCUCUGCAGCAGAGCUACCCAAACCUGGUGGAGCAUGGAACCAGCUGCUGAACCUUCGGAAGAGUCAGCCUCCCUGACAGAUGGAGAAUUCCUCAAGAGCAGGACCGUGUCUGUGUUCCCAGCACCUCCCCAUGCCUGGCACUUCGAGGAUGCUCCGUUACUAUUUGUUGAGAGAAUGGAUAAUUGAAUAAAGAAUGCUACCACCUAAGCUGCAGAGCCGUUUGCUGGAAGAAGUGAGGCCAGGAACUGGAAAGCCAGAGAGUUUGGGACACCUGUGCCAGGUGUCUGUCACCGUGCAGCGAGCGUGUCUGAGCACCUGGCAGCUUCCCUCCUUCCCCAGCCGGUCACUCACGGCCCACCUGCAGGACGGGUCCAGGAGCAGGCGGAGCCUCCUGGUGGCCCCACUUUUGCCUCCUCCCCUGCAGUAGAUGCUUCGUUACCAGAAGGCGAAGGUCAGAGUCUGGCCACGGGCCCAGCAUUUCUGGCCCAGUUUUGCCGCAGGAAGCCAACUGUGCAGAAGGUCAGGAUGCUGGUGGGGUCAGAGUGGGAAAGUUAACAUUCCCAAGGGCCUCUAUGCAACAGGACUUCCUGACGUGGACUAUUGCCUUUCUCACAUUACGUGGCCAGAUUGACUUCCUGCCAUUAUUAACUGUGCAAACAUGACAAAGACGUUUAUUUAAUGGGAACGGGCGAAGGACUUUGCUCGACUCUGAGCUUUGAGGAGGCGGUAGGAUCAUGGAAUUAACCACAGCUGAGAGCUGGGAUUCCAGUCCGGGCUCUACCUGCCUUUGCCAUCUGCUAGAACAUGUAACUUCAUGUCUCAACCUCAGUUUCCUUUUCUGUAACAAGUGGGGAAGAAGGGUGGUAAGAAAUGUUGAGUCAGAACUCAGAGUUGCUGGGUGGGUGAAGUGAGGUCAUUAAUGUGGGAAACGUUUUGCGAACUGGAAAGUGCCAUCUGAGUUUUCAUCAUCAGUUUUGAUCUCCUCCUCCAACAAUCUAGCAUCUCAGCCCGCUUUUCCCAGCUGAGAAGGCCUCUGUGGCUCCAGGAGAAGGUGCCCUCUCCCCAGCUGAGGCUGGCUGCUGGCAGGCAGGCCACCAGCCUUCUGCAGUCACCUCCCGCCAGCUCUGGGCCAAAGGGGCCCUGCCCCUCGGGUUCCCUCUGCGAUUUGCUUCUCUGCUGUUUCCGCUCAAGUUCCUCCUCUGCUCUCUGUCCGUGAAAACGCUCUCCCCCCUCACAAUGCCUUCUCUGAUCUGGUUUCUACAUGGCCGAGCGGGACGUUCACUGCAUCUUACAACCCACUGUUCUCCACGUGUGCUCGCGGGCCCAGCGGCAGCAGCAGCAGCCCCCUGGGAAUGUGUGGGAAAUGCACAGUCUUGGGUCCCACCCAGACCAAUGAAGCAGAAAUGAUGAGGGUGGGGCCAGCAGUCUGUGUUUUCACAGGCCCUCAGGGAUUCUGAUGUACACUCAAGGUCCAGGACCAGUAGGCUAACCUGUCUCCCCAACUGGGUGUGAGCUCCCUGCUGGCCGGGGCUGCCUCCCACUGUGGCUCCCAGAGCCUGGCACGCAGAGACCACGAGUGACCAUGAAACUGCCUCACAGACGUGCGCUGGCCUUCCUGCCGCCACACCUGGGCUCACAACAUGCCCUCAGCCCCUUCCUUCCCGCGGCCCUCCCCACAUGCUCACAAAACCUCAAGGCCAGCCGUCUCCCCUGAGUCCUGCAGCGGCCUGUUCUGCCUCAGUCUCCCUCCAUAGCCGCUGCCUGAACCUGCCAGACACCACUCUGGGCUCACCGCCUGGUCACCCCUUGGUGGGGUUGCCCUUAAACAAAAGGUCCUUUCUGCACGCAUCUUUCAUGUGACAUUUUGCACCGACUUGGUUUGUGUUUGAAGGAGCGCUGGUGCAGUAGGGGAUCAUCCUUGCAGCCACAGGGUGGAAGUCACCUGGCAGCUUCACCAGGGAAGUCAAGGUGUGUGUGUCAGUCGGCCUUUGCACCAACAUUCAUAGCAGAAGCAGUUCACACCACGUCCCCCCCUGACCUGAAGGAGAGAGAAAGGGAAGAGGCACUUGAGGUGCUCAGCGAGCUGCAAAGUUCCGUCCUCCAGCUGCUCCAAGCCCUGCGUGGGCCAUGGGGUCUGCACGGUGGGCGGGCAGGCCAUGCAGGUCUCUGCCUGACCCACACCGUGUCAGGGUUUGUUUUUACUUUCCCUGCUCUUGCUGCCACAGCCUAUGUGUCCCCAGAUUCUUCUUUUAGGCCCUGGAUGGGAGCCAGCCUCCUGCAGCUAGGCUGCCCGGGUUCGAACGCUGGCUCUGCUGCCUAGGGUAAGUUACUUGACCAUUCUGUGCCUCAGUUUCCUCAUCUGUAAAGCAGGCCUGGGUGGUAACACUUAGGUCUUAAGUUUCUUGUGCAGACAAAAUCAGAGAGGACUUGCAAAGCCUACAGAGUAGAGCUCCCACACAGGAGCCCUCCAAGCUCUUGGUCCUGAAGUGGAUACCCCUGGCCCAUGAGCCCAGUAAGGGAAGGCAAGAGCUGGUGAGUGGCAGGCUGGGUCAACCCGGGGCCUGGCUCCCUCCCCAGCCACCACCUGCCUCCAAAUCCAGCAUCAUAUAUGACUCUAAAUUAGUUUUGGGACCAGAAUUUGUAAUCUUUCUGGUUUCAAGCAUGAGGACCCUUAUUUAGUGCUAAGUAAAAUAUCUGCUUUUUGCUCUCUCAGCAUCCAUUGUCCAAGAGAAAAUAACCUAGUAGCCUUUUAGAAUUUGUAUUCCACUGACUACAACAACAUCUGUAUACAUCUGAAAACUAUUCAGACAAGUAUGUGUAAGACAAAUCUCUUCAGCCUGCAGACAGUGUGCUCGGGGCCUUGAUGGAUUCUCUGGCAGACCCCCCCAGCAGGGUGCCUCCAGGCUGGGGACCAGUGUGGUCUUCAGGAAACAAAGGCUUAAUGUAAACUGGGCUCUCCUCAGGCAGGAGUUCCCUCAACAUUCCUUGCCAGGUGUGUAGUAUGAUAAGCCCAUUUCACAGAUAAGAGCACAGAGGCACCAAGAGCUGUAUUAACUACCCAAGACGAAGCUAGUGAUUAGUAGAGCAUGAGUGAGGUCUGGGUGACCCCAAAGCCCAAGUUUUACCCCCUACCCUACCCUUCAACAUGGCAGCUACUCUCUAUUAAUCUUAUCUCCACAGCUGAGUCUGGGAACUCCUGAACAGCACAGAAGUAUCAACUAUCAGCCAGGAGCCAAUAUUCCCAGAGCAGACAGCAUAUCAGGUGCUGGUGCCUCUGUGACCUCGUUUAAUCCAGCAGGAAUCCAAUCAAUUUCCCUAUACUACAGAGGAGCAAAUCAAUUCUCAGAGAGGCUGAGUAACCUGCCCAACGUCACCCAGUUAAGAAGUGGCAGGGCUGGGGCCAGAAUCCAGGUCUGUCUGUCCCUGGGUCCCUGUUGGCCCCUUCGCAGCGUGUGAGCUUCCCAGGGCCUCAGGUAGGGAGGGGGUAGAUAGCUACCUUGAGCCAUAAAAUUCCCCUCACAACACGAUAGGUGUUAGCAAAUUUUUAAAAAUUCUUUGCCCCAGAUCAGGUCCUACAUUGGGAUGAAUCAUCUGACUCCAUAUAAAGUAACCUCAGGAUCGCUGGAUUGAUGGGGAGUGUGGGCAGAAGAGGGUUUUUUGUUGUUUUGAUCUCAACUGAAAAGCAAUUUUUAAUGUGCCAAAUGUUGCACACUCAAUCCAAUACACAGAUUUAUUACGCAGGAGGCCAAAGUGUGCUAAUCAGGAGUCAUCAUCUUGCAACAAGAAUAAAUAAGAACAAAGCCAGCAAGCGUUCCUCCCGGGAGCUAAGAAUGUCAUUGUCUAAUGUCUUGUCUUAGCCGCCUCAGCCCACAAACGGCUCCUCCUGUCUUUAGGGGACAACAAUCGCUGCGGAAUUCUGCUGAGCACAGACGGGCCGAGACACAGAGAGUGGGGUUUGUUGCUUGAAAGCAUUUUGCUUUCUGUAACCACUGUUCCCAAGAAAGAGCUGGGACUGUCUUGCCUGCCCUGUCUCUCAUUCCAGACACCUCUGGAGCAACUCAGAUCCUGAAGCCUUGGCUUGAGGGCAAGUAGAGGCAGAACGUAGGGAAGAGAGCUCCGUGCCAGGCAGAAAUCCCCCACCCUUCCUGUUUCCCGACUCUGAGCAAGCCACUCAACCACGCUCAGCCUCGGCUUCCUCUGCUGGAAAAUGGGGAGAGGAAGGGUUCAUUCAGGCGGCUGGGGGUCCAAGAUUCCUAGCCUGGUGCCUGGUGCCUGGCACAGGGUAGUGCCUGUUAUUAAGAAACUGCUGGGCUAAACCAUGGCCAGGGAGAAAGCUUGGUGGAGGUAACCGGGCACCCUCAGAUGGUAGCUCAGAAAUUGUGUUCCUCACUGAGCAGCUUUGAUCAAACCACUUCCCUUCUCAAAAGUGUUCGGUGGCUUCCUGCUCCCCUGAAUGCAAUAUGGGUCCUUUAACCUGACCACCAAGACCCUCAUUCCCCAAAAUGCCUUUUCAGCCAACUUUUCUACACUCCAAAAUGCCACUUAAUAAAUAUUUAAAGAAAGAGUGAAUACAAUGCAUCUAGCAUUGUGUGUCUAAAAAUCUCGGCCCUGGUCCCAAGAGGCGCAUAAGCUAAUUGGGAGCAAGGCCCAAGAUACCAGAAGAAAAGGGAAAUAGCCAUUUAUUUUACAUUUUAAUCAAGGGACCAACUCAGAUCCCAAAUCCUAGUCCUCAUUCUGCCCCAGAUGUCCUGAGGGCCUGCUCUGAUGUGACAUUCGGAGGAUGCCACUUAGGUUAGGGAACAAGGGGGCGCUACAAGUCAUGAACCAUAACACCCAGGCCAGGAGGGCGCUGACAGUCUAAGGGGGAAGCUGCCACCCCAGGAUACCGUAGGUGCUUCUGUUGUCUCACUCUGCACCCCACACUGUGCCACCAAGCAGGGAGAAGGUCAAUAUGAUGCGUUUUGUAGUUUUCUAUGGAGACAACAGCUGACUGCCAACCAGAAUGAUGACAUAAGGAAUCAGCCUUCACUGGUGAAAGGAAAGGUGUUCAAGACUUGCAGACAAUGCAGCAAAUUGGCUGCAUUACUUAGAAACACUCCCCAGGCUGCAUGAACACAGUGUAAGGGCCCAGUGAGGCCUGGAGGCCAGGCCUGCGGUGUUGCUGCCGAGGCUUGAUCCACCCCCCGACCCCCUAGUCUUCCAUGCAGUUGUCCACCUGUGGGGAGGACUUCAGUUGCCUGAUUACAAGGACUUUGAGGACGACGGGAUCCUGCCCAGGAGUACUGUGACCACUGCAGGAGCUCCUCAAAGGGCAGGGAGCCGAGACGCCCUGGUGAUACGCAAGAGUUUGUGCAGACACGGGGGCACCUGGAGAAUGGCAGCUUGGAUUUACAUGUCUCUCUGGGGCAGAAUUUGCAUGGAGACUUGCUUGCAUCAUAACCUGGUCGUGGGGUUGUGGGGAAGGAGUUAACCAGCCCUGACCCCAAACUUCUGCAGGGACUACUCUCAUCCACCCAAACCCGGGAGCCGUGCGUGGCCGCAUGGUCUUCGGUCAGUCCACUCCCUCAGGGCCCUCUGGUCACACUCCUCUGCAGGGCCUUUACUGUGGGCCGCUCUGUCCAGACCCCGCGCUUUCUCCAUGGAAGUGGCAGAUGUGGAUACCUCCAUGGUAUUUGGACACAAGAAAGGCCGCAUUCAUUUAUCCAACUGCAAUUAAAUCUGUUUCAAGACACCCUACUCACAAAACUGGGCAGAAAUUGCAAUAUCAUUCCAAGUCAUCUGUUGGUCCCUCCCUGAGCCCUACUGGCAUAUUAGGGGGCUUUGGAGGUGCUCCCAGGAAGCCACAGUCAGUGGUGCUUUUUUCUGCAUGGUGGGCAGUGGUGCCCACCCCGGGCAGCUGUGGCAGGCAUGCCGGGGAGGUCAACCAGCCCAGCUUGCUGCCCAGCUCAGCACUGCCCCUCCUCCUAUGGAGGGCGUCUCCUGCUGGUGGCCACACUUCUUCCGAGCAGUCAGCCAGAGGGACCUCAGGCUGGGGGGCCUCCAUGCUUGUGCCCAGAAGUCCCAGGCCCCAGGCAGCCAUCUCCACAAGUAGGGCCACCUGAGUGUUUCUGCAUUUGCCAGACCUAUGGAGUCCUAGGGCUCACUCUGUUUUUGUCCUCAUCAGCCACCUGCAACAGGGCCACAACCCU
RNAcentral lists this long non-coding RNA (7191 nucleotides) under Equus caballus (horse). Its description in RNAcentral is "lncRNA (ENSECAG00000039875.3)". Lineage: Eukaryota; Metazoa; Chordata; Mammalia; Perissodactyla; Equidae. The record is from RNAcentral.